UUCUUUAAGGAUUUAAUUUAAAGUAAGACCUGCUCAAUGACAAAUAAAUAGCCGCAGUUUUACUGUGCUAAGGUAGCAUAAUAAUUUGCUUCUUAAUUAGGAGAUAGAAUGAAAGGUUCCACACUAAAAAUCUGUUUCUCUUAAACUAAUAAAAUUAAGAAAGAAGUCAAAACUCUUCUAUUAAAUAGCGGGACGACAAGACCCUGACAAACUUAACAUUUAGUUGGGGAAACAAAUUAAUAACUCUUUAUUUUUCUAAUAUCCAUAACUUUAAUAUUUAAUCAAGAUUAGUUACUGCAGGGAUAACAGCGUUAUUUCUUUUUAGAGACCUUAUCCAAAAAGAAGAUUACGACCUCGAUGUUGAAUUAAUCCUCCUAUAGAACGCAACAGUUCAUUAAAGGUAGUCUGUUCGACUAUUAAAAAAUU
This 426-nucleotide ribosomal RNA is filed under the name Pholcus crypticolens. Its description in RNAcentral is "partial 16S ribosomal RNA". It matches the Rfam family "Bacterial large subunit ribosomal RNA", at positions 1829 to 2597 of the family's 2925-position model. The record is from RNAcentral. Lineage: Eukaryota; Metazoa; Arthropoda; Arachnida; Araneae; Pholcidae.